AUAACCGGACGGCUGCGGCGCAUGCGCCGAGGAAAGUCCGAACACCGCAGGACAGGAUGCCGGCUAACUACCGGUGGAGGCGACUCCAAGGAAAGUGCAACAGAAAUAAACCGCCGACUCGUUCGGUAAGGGUGGAACGGUGAGGUAAGAGCUCACGCGGUUUCCCGGUAACGGGAAGCGUCUAUGUAAACCCCAUCCGGUGCAAGAUCGAGGGAAACGGGUCGUCCGCCCUCCCUCCCAUAUCGCUCGAACCGCACGGUAACGUGCGGUCAAGACAGAUAGCCGUCCUCAGACAGAAUUCGGCUUACAGGUUAUU
RNAcentral lists this RNase P RNA (316 nucleotides) under chicken gut metagenome. RNAcentral's name for it is "Bacterial RNase P class A". It matches the Rfam family "Bacterial RNase P class A". From Rfam's summary of the family: Ribonuclease P (RNase P) is a ubiquitous endoribonuclease, found in archaea, bacteria and eukarya as well as chloroplasts and mitochondria. Its best characterised activity is the generation of mature 5'-ends of tRNAs by cleaving the 5'-leader elements of precursor-tRNAs. Cellular RNase Ps are ribonucleoproteins. The record is from RNAcentral.